GUUAGGAAUAUUGGACAAUGGGCGAAAGCCUGAUCCAGCCAUGCCGCGUGAACGAUGAAGGCCUUCGGGUUGUAAAGUUCUUUAGCCGAUGAGUAUAAUGACUGUAGUCGGAAAAUAAGCCCCGGCUAACUUCGUGCCAGCAGCCGCGGUAAUACGAAGGUGGCGAGCGUUAUUCGGAAUCACUGGGCGUAAAGCGUGCGUAGGCGGUUUUGUAAGUUAGGAGUGAAAGCCCAGGGCUCAACCUUGGAAUUGCUCUUAAAACUGCAAGGCUCGAAUCUCAGAGAGGAUAGCGGAAUUUCCAUUGUAGCAGUGGAAUACGUAGAUAUUGAAACUAACACCAGUGGAGUAAGCGACUAUCUGCACGAGUACUGAAGCUGAGGCCCGAAGGCGUGGGGAUCAAACAGGAUUAGAUACCCCUGUAGUCC
RNAcentral lists this ribosomal RNA (425 nucleotides) under uncultured bacterium. RNAcentral's name for it is "partial 16S ribosomal RNA". It matches the Rfam family "Bacterial small subunit ribosomal RNA", at positions 354 to 796 of the family's 1533-position model. The record is from RNAcentral.